This is a non-coding RNA of Trametes coccinea BRFM310, 91 nucleotides long. The record is from the annotation of a GenBank genome assembly. Lineage: Eukaryota; Fungi; Basidiomycota; Agaricomycetes; Polyporales; Polyporaceae.
GACACUAUAGCCAAGUGGUUAAGGCGACAGAUUAGAACUAUUCACUAUCUGUUUCCCUCUGGGAGCGUAGGUUCGAACCCUACUGGUGUCG